This 322-nucleotide ribosomal RNA is filed under the name Serratia marcescens. Its description in RNAcentral is "bacterial SSU rRNA". It matches the Rfam family "Bacterial small subunit ribosomal RNA", at positions 107 to 432 of the family's 1533-position model. The record is from RNAcentral. Lineage: Bacteria; Pseudomonadati; Pseudomonadota; Gammaproteobacteria; Enterobacterales; Yersiniaceae.
UGAGUAAUGUCUGGGAAACUGCCUGAUGGAGGGGGAUAACUACUGGAAACGGUAGCUAAUACCGCAUAACGUCGCAAGACCAAAGAGGGGGACCUUCGGGCCUCUUGCCAUCAGAUGUGCCCAGAUGGGAUUAGCUAGUAGGUGGGGUAAUGGCUCACCUAGGCGACGAUCCCUAGCUGGUCUGAGAGGAUGACCAGCCACACUGGAACUGAGACACGGUCCAGACUCCUACGGGAGGCAGCAGUGGGGAAUAUUGCACAAUGGGCGCAAGCCUGAUGCAGCCAUGCCGCGUGUGUGAAGAAGGCCUUCGGGUUGUAAAGCA